GUAAGACAGUACUGUGUCUGUUAGAGGGCUGUAAGACAGUACUGUGUCUGUUAGAGGGCUGUAAGACAGUACUGUAUCUAUUAGAGGGCUGUAAGACAGUACUGUGUCUGUUAGAGGGCUGUAAGACAGUACUCUGUCUGUUAGAGGGCUGUAAGACAGUACUGUAUCUGUUAGAGGGCUGUAAGACAGUACUGUGUCUGUUAGAGGGCUGUAAGACAGUACUCUGUCUGUUAGAGGGCUGUAAGACAGUACUGUGUCUGUUAGAGGGCUGUAAGACAGUACUGUAUCUAUUAGAGGGCUGUAAGACAGUACUCUGUCUGUUAGAGGGCUGUAAGACAGUACUGUAUCUAUUAGAGGGCUGUAAGACAGUACUGUGUCUGUUAGAGGGCUGUAAGACAGUACUCUGUCUGUUAGAGGGCUGUAAGACAGUACUCUGUCUGUUAGAGGGCUGUAAGACAGUACUGUAUCUGUUAGAGGGCUGUAAAAUGCAAGUGGCCUUCAAAGACGACCUUCAAGGAAACAAGGGCCCUACCACAGAGC
This 540-nucleotide long non-coding RNA is filed under the name Salmo salar (Atlantic salmon). Its description in RNAcentral is "lncRNA (ENSSSAG00000104561.1)". The record is from RNAcentral. Lineage: Eukaryota; Metazoa; Chordata; Actinopteri; Salmoniformes; Salmonidae.